UGAAGAGAGAGAGAGAGAGAGAUGAUCAUCAAUGGUCGGCGGCAAACAAGGAAGAGCUGUGAUGAGUUGAAGCGACGACAAGUUGGAAUUUUGAGAUUUUGGGUUUCAUAGUGAGUGAAGUCUUGAAAUAGGAGGCAGAAGCGAGAGAAGCGUGUGAGCUGUUCUAUUGGAUCAAAAAGAUUAUGAGUUCCGGAAGAAGAGAGGACUUCAUGAGUUGUGUAAAUGAAUCAUAGCCUUGAAGGUCUCUUCAUUGCAGUUUCAGGAAACAUAGGAAGAAGAAGAAGAAUAUGUCGCGAGACAGAGAUUUCUGCUGGAUCAAAAAGCUUGGAAUUAAAGAUUCACGUCUUCCAAGUGGUUGUUUUAACUUUUAACUUCAGGUACAUCACAAGAGGUAGGGGCUUAGUAUGCUAGUUCAUAUCAGUUGUCAACCAAUGUUUGGUUAGAUGCAGUUUCUUGAUAAUACAGCAGGUGUUGUUGGGGAUAUCUAUUCUCAAGGAUAUUCUUUUAUGGAGAAGACAUUGUUUAAGGUAUAAUUAAGAUCCCACGGUGUUAUGAUAUUCUUGUGGACUAUAUCAUAAUGUAUGUUUUACGGCUGUAAGUUAUAUCAUUGGUUCUUCAGUAGCUGUAGGAAGAGUCUUGGGGGUAUCACUUAAAUUUCUGAUAUGAGGCAAGGUUAAGAUUUUAUGGUCGGAGAAUCAUAGCUAGUUACCUCAAGACUUGAACUAGUGUGGUUCUGUUUUCUGUUUUUAGGACUCACUACAAGAGUAAAAUUGUGAAGGCUAGCUUGGAGAACCACACUACUUGGCAGAGAGUAUGAACUAUGAGAAACAUAUAAACGGAUUGACAAGUUGAAGAAGAACACAAAAGAAAAACGAAAUCAGCACUCUUAAACCAACAACACACUGCAGAGUCACAAAAAUCCCACUGACUCUUUGCAAGCUUCAUUUCAUAGCAAUGGAGAGAAGAGUUGACUGAGCCUUUUUGGUUCUUGAUGAGUGCUCCCAGAGAAGUGGUUACACUGAUAGCAGAAGGGGUAGAUCCAAGUCUUUGCAGUAAAAUUGGAGCGGAGCCUAAGGGAGGGUAGAAGAUGCAGGUGGUUAGUGGGAUCACGCACUUGCUUGGUUAGACCUUAGAGAGAGACCAAAGUUUCCAAGUCUUAAUGACUUGACAUACGGAUCAUUGAUAUACAUUGCUCGUGUGGUGCGUGGAUAUAUCAUCUAUAUGAGAAUAAGCGAACUAAUCAUCAUACGGAGGAUGAUAAGCGAAAACGGAAAAUAGGAAUAUUGAAGAAUGAAGAUAUUUCCUAUUGGUAGAGUAACGUGUUGCUGACUUGCUGGUUGGGUUCAUGUGACUUGUUUCUUUUAACUUGAGAUAUUAUUCGUUGGUUGGAUGAAGUUCAAACUAAGUUUUCAA
Molecule: non-coding RNA, 1413 nt
Organism: Camelina sativa (false flax)
Lineage: Eukaryota; Viridiplantae; Streptophyta; Magnoliopsida; Brassicales; Brassicaceae
Source: RefSeq, a predicted model, not a curated record